Capsicum annuum is the source of this 953-nucleotide long non-coding RNA. RefSeq lists it as uncharacterized. NCBI's taxonomy places the organism in Eukaryota, Viridiplantae, Streptophyta, Magnoliopsida, Solanales, Solanaceae. The record is from RefSeq and is a predicted model, not a curated record. The transcript has 2 exons.
GAAAGGACAAGAUACAGAGGAUUAAUAAACGCUCUUGAGACUAGAGAUUAGUUGAAUGAUUAAUUGACAAAACUAUAUAAUGCUCACAUAAAUAUUGCUUAAGACAAAGUUCCACGGGCAUUUUUUUAAACAAGAAAAGAUCAUAUUUUUAGCAAUCUAUAAUGUGCAUCCAAUUCAACAUCACACCUCUGGAUAAACAAAUUCCUUCUCAGCUUGAAUAAGGGGAUCAAAAACCUUUACAGGUCAAUGGAAUCUUUAUGCUCAAAACGGUGAUUCAAGUAGUCGUCUCAGCUUGAAUAAGGGCGUCAAGACCCACCUGCAUCUUAGUGUCAAUGACAUUAUAGUAUGCCUUGACAUCUCUGAGAAGGAUGAGCAAUUGUUAUUUUUGUUUAUCUGCGGAAGCAAGAUUCUCACUGAGUCUUUCAACAAUCUCAAAAUCUCUGCUUUACGAGCUUCAUCUAGCUUCUUCUCCAACUCAGUGUAGCAGGUAGAUGCCUCAUUGAAUUCUUCAACAACUUCUCUUCUGUUACGGAUAGAUUGUCUCUGCGGUGAUGGACAUUACGACCUCCUAGGUUAACUUAAGCUUGUUUGGUAUGGUGGCUCUAAUUCGAUCAAAAACUUGACUGAGCAAAAGAUGCGGACAAUUGUAUACAAUAUACAAUUAUGUUGGUGCAUUUUAAUAUUAAAAUUAAAUUGCGUGAUAAUUUAUGGAUAAUAUAAAGUGAAGAAAGUGGUGGUCAUUAGUUUGUGAUAACUGUUGUAACAUCUCACUUUAUUAAUCCAUAAUUCUACCACUUAAUAUUCCUUUACUCUCAUUAUUUUUAUGUCUUUAAUUUAUGAGUUAGUGGUAAGAAUGUCCGAAUAAGUUUUUUGUAACUUCUACCAUUAUUCUACCUCUUUAUGUAUUGUAACUCAUAUAAUAUAUGUAACCUCUAAAGCAUUCAUCUUCCCCA